Long non-coding RNA from Vitis riparia (riverbank grape), 358 nucleotides. RefSeq lists it as uncharacterized. NCBI's taxonomy places the organism in Eukaryota, Viridiplantae, Streptophyta, Magnoliopsida, Vitales, Vitaceae. The record is from RefSeq and is a predicted model, not a curated record. The transcript has 2 exons.
GUCCUCUUUAUAUUCCACCAUCUCUCUAUUUUAAUUGUUCAUUGAAGCCCUUGUGGAAACUUAUUGGUGCUUGGUACAACAACUAAAGAAUCAAUGUUGACUUAGCAGCACCAUGGCUGGAGCCCCUUGCUGCCCUUCUAAGAUCAUGAAAGCCACUGCACUGUCAUUCUUGAAGCCAAAUUUGCCACCAUUUGGUAGAGUAAUCCCCACUGUGAUGUUGAUACGAUGCACUUAUUUUUUAACAGGGUGUACUUAUUUUUCAGCAUGAUGUAUUCGUAACUAGCAUCCUUUGAUGUAAACUGAAAGAUCAUGUUAUAUCCAAGUAUUUUAGGUCAUAUGGAAAUUAUGAAUGUAAAAA